Molecule: ribosomal RNA, 253 nt
Filed under: uncultured bacterium
Lineage: Bacteria
Description: partial 16S ribosomal RNA
Rfam family: Bacterial small subunit ribosomal RNA
Source: RNAcentral
GACGGAGGAUGCAAGCGUUAUCCGGAAUGAUUGGGCGUAAAGCGUGCGCAGGCGGUGAUGUAAGACAGUUGUGAAAUCCCCGGGCUCAACCUGGGAAUUGCAUCUGUGACUGCAUCGCUAGAGUACGGUAGAGGGGGAUGGAAUUCCGCGUGUAGCAGUGAAAUGCGUAGAUAUGCGGAGGAACACCGAUGGCGAAGGCAAUCCCCUGGACCUGUACUGACGCUCAUGCACGAAAGCGUGGGGAGCAAACAGG